Molecule: ribosomal RNA, 473 nt
Filed under: uncultured Allobrachymonas sp.
Lineage: Bacteria; Pseudomonadati; Pseudomonadota; Betaproteobacteria; Burkholderiales; Comamonadaceae
Description: bacterial SSU rRNA
Rfam family: Bacterial small subunit ribosomal RNA
Source: RNAcentral
CAAAGGAAUUGACGGGACCGCACAAGCGGUGGAUGAUGUGGUUUAAUUCGAUGCAACGCGAAAACCUUACCCACCUUUGACAUGGCAGGAAUCCUGAAGAGAUUUGGGAGUGCUCGAAAGAGAACCUGCACACAGGUGCUGCAUGGCUGUCGUCAGCUCGUGUCGUGAGAUGUUGGGUUAAGUCCCGCAACGAGCGCAACCCUUGCCAUUAGUUGCUACGAAAGGGCACUCUAAUGGGACUGCCGGUGACAAACCGGAGGAAGGUGGGGAUGACGUCAAGUCCUCAUGGCCCUUAUAGGUGGGGCUACACACGUCAUACAAUGGCCGGUACAGAGGGUAGCCAACCCGCGAGGGGGAGCCAAUCCCACAAAGCCGGUCGUAGUCCGGAUCGCAGUCUGCAACUCGACUGCGUGAAGUCGGAAUCGCUAGUAAUCGCGGAUCAGCAUGUCGCGGUGAAUACGUUCCCGGGUCUU